Molecule: ribosomal RNA, 253 nt
Filed under: uncultured bacterium
Lineage: Bacteria
Description: partial 16S ribosomal RNA
Rfam family: Bacterial small subunit ribosomal RNA
Source: RNAcentral
GACGUAGGAGGCGAGCGUUGUCCGGAUUCAUUGGGCGUAAAGAGCACGCAGGCGGUUUGGCAAGUCGGAUGUGAAAACCCGAAGCUCAACUUCGGGCCUGCAUCCGAAACUGCCCGACUAGAGGUAGGUAGGGGAGAUCGGAAUUCCUGGUGUAGCGGUGAAAUGCGCAGAUAUCAGGAGGAACACCGGUGGCGAAAGCGCGCGACUGGACCGAGACUGACACUGAGGGACGAAAGCUAGGGGAGCGAAAGGG